UAUCUUUGCGCCCUCAAACGGAUAAACCGUUUAGUACAUAAAAAUCAUUUAAAGAAUAUUGGCAUG
RNAcentral lists this non-coding RNA (66 nucleotides) under unclassified sequences. RNAcentral's name for it is "S15-Flavobacteria ribosomal protein leader". It matches the Rfam family "S15-Flavobacteria ribosomal protein leader". The record is from RNAcentral. RNAcentral also lists the same sequence under 1 other name.